RNAcentral lists this ribosomal RNA (417 nucleotides) under Enterobacter cloacae. RNAcentral's name for it is "partial 23S ribosomal RNA". It matches the Rfam family "Bacterial large subunit ribosomal RNA", at positions 1220 to 1636 of the family's 2925-position model. RNAcentral also lists the same sequence under 1 other name. Lineage: Bacteria; Pseudomonadati; Pseudomonadota; Gammaproteobacteria; Enterobacterales; Enterobacteriaceae. The record is from RNAcentral.
GUUGUUGGGUAGGGGAGCGUUCUGUAAGCCGUUGAAGGUGGCCUGUGAGGGUUGCUGGAGGUAUCAGAAGUGCGAAUGCUGACAUAAGUAACGAUAAAGCGGGUGAAAAGCCCGCUCGCCGGAAGACCAAGGGUUCCUGUCCAACGUUAAUCGGGGCAGGGUGAGUCGACCCCUAAGGCGAGGCCGAAAGGCGUAGUCGAUGGGAAACAGGUUAAUAUUCCUGUACUUGGUGUUACUGCGAAGGGGGGACGGAGAAGGCUAUGUUAGCCGGGCGACGGUUGUCCCGGUUUAAGCAUGUAGGCGGAGGUUCCAGGUAAAUCCGGUACCUUUUAACGCUGAGGUGUGAUGACGAGGCACUACGGUGCUGAAGUAACAAAUGCCCUGCUUCCAGGAAAAGCCUCUAAGCAUCAGGUAACA